Molecule: transfer RNA, 73 nt
Filed under: Camelus dromedarius (Arabian camel)
Lineage: Eukaryota; Metazoa; Chordata; Mammalia; Artiodactyla; Camelidae
Also listed under: 1 other name
Rfam family: tRNA
About the family: Transfer RNA (tRNA) molecules are approximately 80 nucleotides in length. Their secondary structure includes four short double-helical elements and three loops (D, anti-codon, and T loops).
Source: Rfam by way of RNAcentral
GAGGGUAUAGCUCAAGUGGUAGAGCGUGUGCUUAGCAUGCGCCAGGUCCUGGGUUCAAUCCCCAGUACCUCCA